AAAUUUAUAAUCUGGCACCUUCGGUGUCCGAGUUGUAAUCUCUAGAAGUGUUUUCCGCGUUGGACCGCACACAAGUCUGUUGGAAUACAGCGGCAUAGUGGUGAAACCCCCGUAUAUGGUGCGGACGCCCAGCGCUUUGUGAUACACUUUCAAUGAGUCGAGUUGUUUGGGAAUGCAGCUCAAAUUGGGUGGUAAAUUCCAUCUAAAGCUAAAUAUUGGCGAGAGACCGAUAGCGAACAAGUACCGUGAGGGAAAGAUGAAAAGCACUUUGGAAAGAGAGUUAACAGUACGUGAAAUUGUUGGAAGGGAAACGCUUGAAGUCAGACUUGCUUGCCGGAGCUUGCUUCGGUUUGCAGGCCAGCAUCAGUUUUUCGGGGUGGAUAAUGACGGUUUGAAGGUAGCAGUCUCGGCUGUGUUAUAGCUUUCCGUUGGAUACAUCCUGGGGGACUGAGGAACGCAGCGUGCUUUUUGCGAAAGACUCGUCUUUUUCACGCUUAGGAUGCUGGUGGAAUGGCUUUAAACGACCCGUCUUGA
This 534-nucleotide ribosomal RNA is filed under the name Rhodotorula babjevae. RNAcentral's name for it is "eukaryotic LSU rRNA". It matches the Rfam family "Eukaryotic large subunit ribosomal RNA", at positions 111 to 657 of the family's 3401-position model. Lineage: Eukaryota; Fungi; Basidiomycota; Microbotryomycetes; Sporidiobolales; Sporidiobolaceae. The record is from RNAcentral.